GCCCACGUAGUCUACUUAAGACGCAACACUGAAGAUGUUGAGAUGAGCCCUAGAAAGUUCCGUAGGCA
RNAcentral lists this transfer RNA (68 nucleotides) under Arripis trutta (Australian salmon). RNAcentral's name for it is "tRNA-Phe". The record is from RNAcentral. Lineage: Eukaryota; Metazoa; Chordata; Actinopteri; Scombriformes; Arripidae.